RNAcentral lists this ribosomal RNA (378 nucleotides) under uncultured eukaryote. RNAcentral's name for it is "partial 18S ribosomal RNA". It matches the Rfam family "Eukaryotic small subunit ribosomal RNA", at positions 592 to 976 of the family's 1831-position model. The record is from RNAcentral.
CAAUAGCGUAUAUUUAAGUUGUUGCAGUUAAAAAGCUCGUAGUUGGAUUUCGGGUGGGACGCAGCGGUCUCGCAUUGCGUUUGUACUGCUGCAGCCCUCCUUCUUGCCGGGGGCGGCCUCUCGGACUUCACUGUCUGGGGGUCAGAAUCGGCGAUGUUACUUUGAGUAAAUUAGAGUGUUCAAAGCAAGCUUACGCUCUGAAUAUAAUAGCAUGGGAUAACACGACAGGACUCUGGCCUAUCGUGUUGGUCUAUAGGAACAGAGUAAUGAUUAAGAGGGACAGUCGGGGGCAUUCGUAUUCCGUUGUCAGAGGUGAAAUUCUUGGAUUUACGGAAGACGAACAUCUGCGAAAGCAUUUGCCAAGGAUGUUUUCAUUGA